UAAGUUUGAUGGCGACCGGCGCACGGGUGAGUAACACGUAUCCAACCUGCCGAUGACUCGGGGAUAGCCUUUCGAAAGAAAGAUUAAUACCCGAUGGCAUAGUUCUUCCGCAUGGUAGAACUAUUAAAGAAUUUCGGUCAUCGAUGGGGAUGCGUCCAUUAGGUUGUUGGCGGGGUAACGGCCCACCAAGCCUUCGAUGGAUAGGGGUUCUGAGAGGAAGGUCCCCCACAUUGGAACUGAGACACGGUCCAAACUCCUACGGGAGGCAGCAUG
This 273-nucleotide ribosomal RNA is filed under the name uncultured bacterium. RNAcentral describes it as "partial 16S ribosomal RNA". It matches the Rfam family "Bacterial small subunit ribosomal RNA", at positions 80 to 353 of the family's 1533-position model. The record is from RNAcentral.